Molecule: ribosomal RNA, 489 nt
Filed under: uncultured bacterium
Lineage: Bacteria
Description: bacterial SSU rRNA
Rfam family: Bacterial small subunit ribosomal RNA
Source: RNAcentral
GAUGAACGCUAGCUACAGGCUUAACACAUGCAAGUCGCGGGCAGCAUUUCCUUAGCUUGCUAAGGAAGAUGGCGACCGGCGCACGGGUGAGUAACGCGUAUCCAACCUUCCCAUGUCCACGGGAUAGCCCGUCGAAAGGCGGAUUAAUACCGUAUGAGGUCACAUGCGGGCAUCUAAGUGUGACGAAAGGUUUAGCGGACAUGGAUGGGGAUGNGUCCGAUUAGCUUGUUGGCGGGGUAACGGCCCACCAAGGCGACGAUCGGUAGGGGUUCUGAGAGGAAGGUCCCCCACAUUGGAACUGAGACACGGUCCAAACUCCUACGGGAGGCAGCAGUGAGGAAUAUUGGUCAAUGGGCGAGAGCCUGAACCAGCCAAGUAGCGUGCAGGAUGACGGCCCUAUGGGUUGUAAACUGCUUUUAUAAGGGAAUAAAGUGGGUCUCGUGAGACUUUUUGCAUGUACCUUAUGAAUAAGGACCGGCUAAUUCCGUG